GGUUAUGAAUCAACGCGUUGAUUUAUAAGCAUGGAAAUCCCCUGAGUGAAACAACGAAUUGCUGUGUGUAGUCUUUGCCCAUCUCCCACGAUGGGCUUUUUUUUA
Molecule: non-coding RNA, 105 nt
Filed under: insect gut metagenome
Description: RprA RNA
Rfam family: RprA RNA
About the family: Translational regulation of the stationary phase sigma factor RpoS is mediated by the formation of a double-stranded RNA stem-loop structure in the upstream region of the rpoS messenger RNA, occluding the translation initiation site. Clones carrying rprA (RpoS regulator RNA A) increased the translation of RpoS.
Source: RNAcentral